Molecule: long non-coding RNA, 790 nt
Filed under: Lotus japonicus
Lineage: Eukaryota; Viridiplantae; Streptophyta; Magnoliopsida; Fabales; Fabaceae
Description: long non-coding RNA (LJAP_LNC001082)
Source: RNAcentral
GACUAAUCACCUUCUGAAUUCGUUUCCUCUCUCACAGCCUUGCUUUCCCUCACAUGAAUCUCAAACCCUAGCUGUUCUUGCGUGUUAGCCUUCCUCUUUCAACCUACUUCUCACCAAUCCAUCAAUAGAGUCUUUUCUGAUUGAUCUGAUGAUGAAUUGCUUUCGGCCGCCGCUUGAUGUGUAAUUGAAGCUAACGUUGCCGCCGAUUAUGGUAGAAUCAAUCGCGUAUCGACAGCUCAAAUCGUCCGCUGUUCAUCUGUCAUUUUUCCUCACGAGAACCCUAACUACUAUGGUUGAAUGCAUCAGCAGAAGUUGAAUACUUUAGCAAAUGGUCAGUAUCAAUCCCAAUCCUAAUUAAUUUUGGCCAUUUUGUUGAAUAUAUUUCGUACAACUCCAAUUUGUUAAUAGAGAGUUCAUAAUUUUUUUACAUGUAUAUAUGAUGAUUAUUGUCAGUUCAUUGAGGUCGUUUAUUGUCAGUUCACUUUCAAAUUUUGGCUAUAAGUACCCCAUGUUGUGAACUCCCAUUCUCACCAUUCCCAUAUCUCCAAAACCCCCCUCUUCUAUUUUAUCUCACUCACUGAUCUGAUUGAAUCUUCCUGUCCUUUUAUUUAUCCUGUAUCUGCAGACAUGAAAAAAGCUAUUUGAGCGCUGAUUCAUUGUAUAGUGAUUUCGUCAAUUUUUCCUUCAUUUGACCUUUUGCUCUGCGGUUUUGAAAGUUGCAUACUGAAUGUGGAAGGGUGAGUGAUAAACUCUUUUCUUUUUUUGGUUUAUGUUAUUUUUUUUGUUUCAG